CUCUUUAUUGUUUCAACGCAAAUGUCAGCUCUUAUCAUUCCAUGUAAACGUGAUCAUGAUUGUCCAGAUUUUUUCUUAUCACAUAAAUAUAAAUAUAAGUGCCGUAAAGGUUAUUGUUCAUGACAAUAAUUAUAAAGCUCGAUAAAUAGUGAUUGUCGGACCCAAAAGAUACACAAGCACAUUACUAAAAUAUUUCAUGAGUCAGACGGUCGUCAUUAGCAUCAAAGAGGUCAGGCGGCCAACAUAGACCUAAUAAACUUUCAUCACAUAGUACAUAUGUCAUAUAUGUUUUUUUUUGUAGAUAGACGAAAUGACAAAAGUCAUUGAAAACUCACACAUACAAAGUGGAGGACCGGAGUUCAAACUCCUGUCAUGAAACACAUUAGCAAUUUCGGCAUUUCUGUCAAUUCAACUAAAUUUGUGGACAGUACAUAGUACAUGUGCCAUGUAAUUAUGCCUAUAAUCAUUUAUUGUUCCCCUAAUACUCGUAAUGUAGGUAAAGUGCUUAUUGCCUUCAUCUUCACACGAGAUGCGUGAAAUCCAUACUGUUUGUUGCAUUUCCUACUCUUAGACAUGGAAAUGCAACAAAUGCGUGAAAUUAUGCCUAUAUUUGGAUAGCAUGUUGAUAAUUCAAUUCAACUUUAUUUAAUAAAACAUGUUUUACUACCAAA
Molecule: long non-coding RNA, 671 nt
Organism: Trifolium pratense (red clover)
Lineage: Eukaryota; Viridiplantae; Streptophyta; Magnoliopsida; Fabales; Fabaceae
Exons: 2
Source: RefSeq, a predicted model, not a curated record